This is an RNA transcript of Cryptomeria japonica (Japanese cedar), 1582 nucleotides long. It is a transcript of the gene named cyclin-U1-1, with no coding region annotated. The record is from RefSeq and is a predicted model, not a curated record. The transcript is spliced from 3 exons. NCBI's taxonomy places the organism in Eukaryota, Viridiplantae, Streptophyta, Pinopsida, Cupressales, Cupressaceae.
AGAUCCGUAUUUCCUCACUACCAAACCCUAGCUCUACCAAACCCUAACCCGGGCUCUGGCAAACCCUAGCGGCGGUCACAAGAUCGAAUCCAGAGGAGGACAAGAAGAAAAAUGCGAGAUUAAAUUCUUCCCGAGUUGACCGCGAUUGCGCGAUCAACUCUCUAGCCGUGCGGAGUAAUAAAUAUAUGGCAGACAACCUGUUUUGCGGAUAAAGAUCUGUGGGCUUGAUGCACUCGGGCGCCGUCGUCGUGUGCAGGGAGCGGGCGGAGGAGGAGAGGGAGAGGGAGAGGGAAGAGGAGCAGCUAGACGAGACCACUCCGCCGGAAGAAACUCAACAGCCGCGCAUUUUGUCUGUCCUUUCGUGUGUCUUACAGAGGCUAGUCUCAAGGAACGACCAGUACGUCCCUCCCGCAUACGCAGACAAGAAUCUCACUGUCUUCCACGGCGUCCGCGCUCCCUCUAUCACUGUUCCCAAGUACCUCGAACGCAUCUUCAAGUAUACCAAUUGUAGCCCCUCCUGCUUCGUUGUAGGAUAUAUUUACAUUGACCGCCUCGUUCACAGACAACCGGAUUUUCCAGUCACUUCUCUAAAUGUUCACCGCCUGCUCCUUACCAGCGUUAUGAUCGCUGCCAAAAUGCUCGACGAUGCGCAUUAUAAUAAUGCAUUCUAUGCUAGAGUAGGCGGCGUAAGCAACACGGAACUCAACCGUUUGGAGCUGGACCUUCUCUUCCGUCUGGACUUCCGGUUGAAGGUCACUGGGAAAAUUUUUGAAAGCUAUUGUUUGCACUUGGAGAAGGAAACUAAUGGACAGAGAAUAGAGAGGAGUCCAGGCGUUUUCAGGCCAAUUACUGGGGUUUCAUCAGAUACUGAAUCUGUAAAACAUGAUGAGUCCAAGGUUCAACAAGUUGUUCAUUCUCCUCGUCCUUCUGUGACGACAAUGGUGGUAAGAGACCAUCCUGAACCUCCCAGCCGGUAAAUGACAAAGGCUGUUCAUAUGAUUGGAUAAAGACCAAGCAAACUGUAAGCAGUUUUGUAUAUAAUUCUUUGCAACCAGGUGAAAUACAGGUCCAGCUCCCUCAUCUCCUAGAAGUUGAGUGCAAAAAAGCAAUGGCAAUUUGAUUGGAGUAUGGAGGGCAUUUUAAACUUAAGAUGUAACUUAUGAUUCUUCCCAAUAUGAUGAAUAUGUGUUAAUUUUACCUAGUCGUUUUAUUUUUUGAGCUUUUCUUGGCAAAUGGUUGGAGUGACCGUAGUCUUUAUACCUUGCAAGUAUUUAUCUGCCCUCCAAGAUCAAGAAAAUAAUUAAUAGCAUGUUUUGUUCAGUAUUGAGACAAGCACAUCCUUUUUUAAAAGAGCGGACAGGUUUAGUCUCAGUGAACCCUAUGAUUUACUAUACAUACCGUCUUCUAUCCAGUGACACAGUGAUGGUCUAGGCUUUAGUCAUAAGCAUGGUUUAAAAACUCAAACUCGGGAAUAAACUUGUUUGACCCAAAAAAUUUAAAUUCUUGGGACUAAGCAAUAGCUUGGCAAAUUUAUAGCAUUUAAAAAUAUAUAAUUUUAGAAAAAUAUUCUUUAAAACACACA